This 224-nucleotide unclassified non-coding RNA is filed under the name uncultured fungus. RNAcentral's name for it is "sequence contains ITS1, 5.8S rRNA gene". The record is from RNAcentral. Lineage: Eukaryota; Fungi.
UCUCCGUAGGUGAACCUGCGGAGGGAUCAUUACUGAGUGAGGGCCUUCGGGCUCGACCUCCAACCCUUUGUGAAUCGUACUCGUUGCUUCGGGGGCGACCCUGCCUUCGUGCGAGGCGCCCCCGGAGGCUCAUCAAACACUGCAUCUUUGCGUCGGAGUUUAAGUAAAUUAAACAAAACUUUCAACAACGGAUCUCUUGGUGCUGGCAUCGAUGAAGAACGCAC